Molecule: long non-coding RNA, 2029 nt
Organism: Homo sapiens (human)
Lineage: Eukaryota; Metazoa; Chordata; Mammalia; Primates; Hominidae
Product: long intergenic non-protein coding RNA 700
Source: Ensembl
GACUUCCGUUCUGGAGGCCGGAAGUCCAAGAUGGAGGGUCCCGCAGAUUCCGUGUCUGAUUGUUGCAGCAGAUCCAACUGAAGGAUACACCAACCAUUUUAAUCGGACACAAAAGAACAGGCUGUCCUCACCUGACCACCACCCACAACAACCGAACUUUAAUCAGACACAAAAGAACAGGCUGUCACCUGACCACCACCCACAACAACCGAAGGGCAGGGUGAGUCCAUUUAGAGUCUCGAGAAUUUCAGACGUGCAUUCACUUUAAAGUGAUUUGGGAGAUUAUUUUGAUAGAAGUUUCCAGUGAAGGAAAUAAUAUGUAUUUUUUUCUAACAUGACUUGUGUGUGCAUGAGCAGGACAAUGUGCUUCCCUAGGUGAGGAGAAAGAGUAGAGCCAACAGUAGUUAUCUACUCUGCCUCUGAGCACACCUUGGAAAUAAACCACCCAUGAGAAGAAGUCCCCCUUCUGAUGUGGGGGGUUUGGAAGAGACGCAGGGACAGUGUUCACAGUGGAUGGAGAGAAGUAACUGCACUACGCAGUGGAUGGGGCAAAGUAACUGCACCCGCCGGGAAGGAAGGAACUGCUGUGGACAUGUUCUUCCUGUUGGGAUGAGCCACCGCCAACUUGAACAUUCAUCGUCUAUGGUGAAAGUAGACAUUAAUCAUCAAUAACUUGCCAAGUUCUCCCUCCAAAUAUAUUCCAGACCCCAGUUGCCAUAAACACCUUGUGGCCUCCUUCCUACACACAAUGAGAAUCCUGUAUCUUGUUCCACGUUUAGCCUUGGCCACCUACAGACACAGAAGCACACUGUUAGUUCAAAUUUAUUGUCUGUGGGCCAAGGCACCAUGCACAUAAUUAAAUCAGUUUUUUAAUACUUUAAAAUCAAAAGGUAAGAUAUUUCAGACACUCGGUUAUGAAAUAGACUUUCUUAGAAAAAGGACAUAAUUCUCUUGAAAUCUGCCCUUAGGUUUUCAGAUAUUAAAUUGGAAGCUGGAAUGAGAACACUCAUUUGCAGGAUUUCAUGCAGGGAUAAUGAACUAACCCCCAUCCUCUUGUUCUUCUCUGUGCUGUUAGACAAACAGUUAAUUUUUUAAAAUCAUAUCCCCACCUUGCAUUGGAUUUUAUCUUUCUCAUUUCCUCAUUAAAAACCUCCACAUUUUGUUAAUAAUACCAGAAAGUCACUACUAAUCAAUUCCCAGAAAUCUCCAGUGAGAUUUGCCUGUUUCUACUCAACUUCUGAAUUCUGCAAUGCCCAGGCUGUCUCUCUAGAGAGUCUGACCUGGGCUUUCCUGGCCUUACGCAAGUGAUGGAGCUCAUGACUCCAGCCAUUAACCCCUUCCCUGGACUCCUGUCUGAUUUCUUCCACUUUAUCUUGUUCAAAGGAUGCAGUAGGCAAAGAGGCUAAAAUGGACACUUUGUAACAGACACACUGGAAUUCCAGUGACUGUCCUGCUCCUUCCCUCUUCAGCCCUCUUGAGAAACUUAGUUAACCUCUUUAAAAAACUAAUUUCCUCAAGUGGCAAAAUAGGAUGAUGAUAGUGACAGACACAUAGAUAUUUCCUUCUGAGUUUAUUUCUUCCUCUUGUUUCCUAAGUGUGGAUUUUCCUUAAGAUUCAGUUUGAUCCUUCCUGAACCUACCUUUCAGAACCUUCUGGAGAGCUUUGUAAAAGCAAGCAUCUUGGGGUUUUCAGCCCAUUACUGAAUCAGAAUCCCUCCAGAUGGGGCUGAGAUCCAUGUUUGAAACCCGUUGCUUUAGCUGACGUUGUGCCCUAUUCAUCCUUCCCGUCCCAGGGCUGUGACCGCUACCUCCAUGGUGUGGCUCUGCACAUUGGGGGUCCCACAUACUGGGGGUCCCGCUCUCUCUGCCCCUGAACCAAAUGCAUCCUCAGGUCACACAGACCCUGCCUGUCUGCAGACUAUUAGCACAUAUUUUCCUUUUCUGUCACAUUUUAUGUCAAUUUGUUUAGCAUAAUAUAAUUCUAUGCAAUGUAAUCUUCCAAGCAUCCUGAAAUAAAACCAUGCCUCCCA